This 653-nucleotide ribosomal RNA is filed under the name uncultured bacterium. RNAcentral's name for it is "bacterial SSU rRNA". It matches the Rfam family "Bacterial small subunit ribosomal RNA", at positions 8 to 655 of the family's 1533-position model. RNAcentral also lists the same sequence under 1 other name. The record is from RNAcentral.
AGAGUUUGAUCAUGGCUCAGAUUGAACGCUGGCGGCAGGCUUAACACAUGCAAGUCGAGCGGAGAUGAGGUGCUUGCACCUUAUCUUAGCGGCGGACGGGUGAGUAAUGCUUAGGAAUCUGCCUAUUAGUGGGGGACAACAUUCCGAAAGGAAUGCUAAUACCGCAUACGUCCUACGGGAGAAAGCAGGGGAUCUUCGGACCUUGCGCUAAUAGAUGAGCCUAAGUCGGAUUAGCUAGUUGGUGGGGUAAAGGCCUACCAAGGCGACGAUCUGUAGCGGGUCUGAGAGGAUGAUCCGCCACACUGGGACUGAGACACGGCCCAGACUCCUACGGGAGGCAGCAGUGGGGAAUAUUGGACAAUGGGGGGAACCCUGAUCCAGCCAUGCCGCGUGUGUGAAGAAGGCCUUAUGGUUGUAAAGCACUUUAAGCGAGGAGGAGGCUACUGAGACUAAUACUCUUGGAUAGUGGACGUUACUCGCAGAAUAAGCACCGGCUAACUCUGUGCCAGCAGCCGCGGUAAUACAGAGGGUGCGAGCGUUAAUCGGAUUUACUGGGCGUAAAGCGUGCGUAGGCGGCUUUUUAAGUCGGAUGUGAAAUCCCCGAGCUUAACUUGGGAAUUGCAUUCGAUACUGGGAAGCUAGAGUAUGGGAGA